Molecule: long non-coding RNA, 1243 nt
Organism: Xyrauchen texanus (razorback sucker)
Lineage: Eukaryota; Metazoa; Chordata; Actinopteri; Cypriniformes; Catostomidae
Exons: 3
Source: RefSeq, a predicted model, not a curated record
UGUGUCCAUUUUAUGUUCUGUCUGGUCCAGUUUUUGAGAGAAUACUAUUUUAACAUUAUUAAAUUAAACACAAGAAAGUUGUUUUUGAAUUUUCUAUGAUUUUAAAAAUGUCUGGAGAACAAUUUAAAUGUGAGUGCAGCGUUAUCGGUGUAAACUUGAUCAACCAAGAAAAGAUUUUUUAUUUUUGUUAGGGACUGUCUGAUGAGGGCAUUGAGGAUGGCUUUGAGGGGAAACAGGCCUCUCUUGAUGUCUUCAGACAGACAGAAAGGGGCCCCGACUUUAGAAAAAGAUAGAAAGCAGAUAGAUAGCUAUUUUAUUUUUAUUUUAUUUAUUUUUUGUUUGGUAUACACAGAAUAGGUCUUGGUUGAUCGUGGAUACACUGAGAAGCUGCAUUUGAGACUAAAAUUAAAGGAACAUAAAUUUAAGAAUGAUUUGGAUCAUUUAAAAAUUAGUCUUUGGGGCGGGUGAAGCCCAUGGAGAAAGGUUAAGAUUAAAUUGAACAUCAUAACUUCCUCAUAUAUGAAUGUUAAUAACUUCAUAUUCAUGUGUCUAUUCUGUGUUUCAUUUGUUAUUAUUAUGUGUGUUGUUUCACUAACUCAUUCUGGAACUAGUUUCUCCCCAUUGCAGACGGCUGAGAAAGAUGAUUUUAUGGAAGUUACUAAUGCUGCAGGAGGAAAUCAGGACACAAAGAAGACUGAAAAUGAUGUGACUGAUCUGAUAUAUCCUCCUGCGCUCAUUGCUGCUGCAUUUGUAGUUGUUCCACUGGCUGUGUCGGUUCUCUGGUGAUACUCCCUGAAAAAGAAAAUAUCUGUUUACUGAUACCAAAUUAUUAAGGAUUGAGGACUGAGCAGUAUCAAGACCAGUGGCAAGAGGUGACGACCCAAUGACGGUGUUCUUUAUGCACAUAAAAUGAAAUAGUCAUGCUUCAAUGAUGGCAACAGCAAGUUAGGACAGGAUGACCCGCUGAAGGAGAGAAGGUGGAAAACAAUUGUGGCCUACAAUACCAAUGAAUAAGAAAGACAUAUUAAUAUGGAUGUUAUUACUGACAUACUUGGGACAAGUGUUGCCCCCAAUGAUGGGGCCUACCAGAGAAACGUCCCAAGAAGUACCAGGAUCACCAGAUGAACAAUUCUAAGAAAGCAUACUGCAGAGUGGGUUCCCUACAAUCAGCCUUGGGGAUCUUGGAUGGCCUUUCCAAUGAAGCUGACCUAAAACGAAAUACUCCAGAAUGUGAAUUAAGAAA